Molecule: long non-coding RNA, 353 nt
Filed under: Musa acuminata (dwarf banana)
Lineage: Eukaryota; Viridiplantae; Streptophyta; Magnoliopsida; Zingiberales; Musaceae
Description: long non-coding RNA (MACU_LNC007891)
Source: RNAcentral
ACAGCUGAAUGGAAUUUGGAUUUAGUUGUUACCAUUGUUCUAAUGAGUCGUACCUUGGGGUGGGUGUUAGUAUAUCUGUCUUUAUUACAUUUGAUGCUUGAAGCUGCAAACCAAUCUUAGUCCUUAUGUGCACCUCAGUAGGAGUAUGGUAAGGAAGUUCGUUCGACUCUUUGUUAAGAGAUACUAUAGCCAGCCACGAGUUGAGUUAGGUUAUUUUGGAGAUCGACCUAAGCCCCUAAUAACACUUUUUCUUUGAGCUGUAAGAUAUACUACGGUUGGUGGAGCAUAUCAAAGUCCCAUGUAUAUUCCGUUGAAUCAGAGUUCUAGCAGCGCAGAAAGGAAUUGAGUAUCAG